UGCGGCUCUAAUCGCUUGGAUCAAUAGUCUAAGGCUGGAAGUUCAGUGCAUAGGCUGAGAAGGAGGACAGGGUAAAGGAAAUGCACCAUACCGUGGCGUAGGGCACGGCCAACAGGCUGCAGCUCCAGACCCGGCGGUGUUGAGAGCUCAGUGGAGGAUACGUUUGGCUCGGAUCAGGAGGAUCCUAUAGGCUCUUGCCGGAGUUUCUGCACAUGUGGUAAGUGCAGGAGUCAACACCUGUUUCAGUGUUUAUUUACAGUCACAGCGUUUAACCUCACGCUUCCUACCUCGCCAGGCAGAUCAUGUCCGAGGUCAAGGCACUCAUCACUCAGAUCACAGAUGCGUUAAAGUAACGUCUGAACUUAUUCACUCUUAUUCGCUGUCUCUCUCUCUACACGUUCAUUACGCACCAGUUUCACUGACUGUGUUUAGCCUGCAGCCGAGAAGCUGACGGAAGGUGAGCUGCAUGAUGGCAGGCUGAUCGCCGAUCAGAAGGUACUAUACUGAAAUACUCCACCCCGGUCAGAGUAACUCUUCUGCACUGUAGCUUUGUAGAUAGAAGUUGUUUUAGUUUGAGAUGGCGUUGUCACCCUCAGGUUCGAGUUUAGCGCAGAAGAAGCGUUACAGGAACUUGUCAUUAAUGUCUCACUGUGACCCGAAAGCUGCUUGUUGGAUGUUUAAUGUAAGAUUAGAAAGUUCAGCUGGUUUAUCUCCUCUCAGGUGUGUGUAAAAGAGAACCUGGCUGUGUCCUUGCAGCGUGUGAUUUCUAUUUCAUCUGUGUUUUCAGAAGGAGGGGGAAGAUUGAGGAGCCAAUUUUUAUUUUGUUUUUUGCUAAAUAAAAGGUUUCUUUAAACAACCAACACCUGCCUGACUGUACGAGUUAUUUACAUGAACCAGUCGCAGGAACGUCUUGCUAUUAGGGAUGUGAAAGUGAUAAUAUCUUUUUGUACACAGCGUAAUAGAACUGAGGCAUCAGGAAUCCCAAAUAUAGUAAUGAGUGGGCAAGGUUUUAAAUCUACUCUGAGAAUAGUGGACAUGACAGUAAAGAAACCAGUCCAAAAACCAUGGAGAUCAGGGCAAAAUAAAAACAUAUGGCCAAGAUGACAGGGAGAGCCAUGGCAUUUAUCACACUUGUCCUCUACUUCUGGAUAUAUUACAGAAAGUCUCGACUUAGACAAAUGGACUCUGUGUAAAACUUUGAACUGGAUGAGUCCAAGACGAGCACAGGAAGUGG
This is a long non-coding RNA of Ictalurus punctatus (channel catfish), 1234 nucleotides long. RefSeq lists it as uncharacterized. Lineage: Eukaryota; Metazoa; Chordata; Actinopteri; Siluriformes; Ictaluridae. The record is from RefSeq and is a predicted model, not a curated record. The transcript is spliced from 3 exons.